Molecule: transfer RNA, 70 nt
Filed under: Sphaerodactylus townsendi
Lineage: Eukaryota; Metazoa; Chordata; Lepidosauria; Squamata; Sphaerodactylidae
Description: tRNA-Glu
Rfam family: tRNA
About the family: Transfer RNA (tRNA) molecules are approximately 80 nucleotides in length.
Source: RNAcentral
GGAAGGGCUGUGGCUCAGUGGUAGAGUAUCUGCUUUUCAUGCAGGAGACCUAGGUCCCCUGGCUCCUCCA